Molecule: non-coding RNA, 152 nt
Filed under: Emergomyces pasteurianus Ep9510
Lineage: Eukaryota; Fungi; Ascomycota; Eurotiomycetes; Onygenales; Ajellomycetaceae
Description: Emergomyces pasteuriana Ep9510 Eukaryotic large subunit ribosomal RNA
Rfam family: Eukaryotic large subunit ribosomal RNA
Source: Rfam by way of RNAcentral
GCAUAUGGAUAGCUGAGAAUUUACAGUGAUAUUGCUUUUUGAUUCUUUGAUAUCAGCUCUUCUUAUCAUACUAAUCAGAAUUACAGUAAGUGUUGAAUAGUUCACUUGUCAACAGAGAAUAUGAGCUGAAUUAGGUUUAUGUGAGAUAGAUU